UAGAGUUUGAUCAUGGCUCAGAUUGAACGCUGGCGGCAGGCCUAACACAUGCAAGUCGAGCGGCAGCACGGGUACUUGUACCUGGUGGCGAGCGGCGGACGGGUGAGUAAUGCCUAGGAAUCUGCCUGGUAGUGGGGGAUAACGCUCGGAAACGGACGCUAAUACCGCAUACGUCCUACGGGAGAAAGCAGGGGACCUUCGGGCCUUGCGCUAUCAGAUGAGCCUAGGUCGGAUUAGCUAGUUGGUGAGGUAAUGGCUCACCAAGGCGACGAUCCGUAACUGGUCUGAGAGGAUGAUCAGUCACACUGGAACUGAGACACGGUCCAGACUCCUACGGGAGGCAGCAGUGGGGAAUAUUGGACAAUGGGCGAAAGCCUGAUCCAGCCAUGCCGCGUGUGUGAAGAAGGUCUUCGGAUUGUAAAGCACUUUAAGUUGGGAGGAAGGGCAUUUACCUAAUACGUAAGUGUUUUGACGUACCGACAGA
This 484-nucleotide ribosomal RNA is filed under the name Pseudomonas sp. 01WB03.4-1. Its description in RNAcentral is "bacterial SSU rRNA". It matches the Rfam family "Bacterial small subunit ribosomal RNA", at positions 1 to 485 of the family's 1533-position model. Lineage: Bacteria; Pseudomonadati; Pseudomonadota; Gammaproteobacteria; Pseudomonadales; Pseudomonadaceae. The record is from RNAcentral.